This is a long non-coding RNA of Chelonia mydas (Green sea turtle), 5330 nucleotides long. RefSeq lists it as uncharacterized. The record is from RefSeq and is a predicted model, not a curated record. NCBI's taxonomy places the organism in Eukaryota, Metazoa, Chordata, Testudines, Cheloniidae. The transcript is spliced from 2 exons.
CGAUUGGCUGAAGUAGGACUGAAUGAACUUGUAGGCUCUAAAGUUUUAUAUUUUUAUUUUUGAAUGCAGUUUUUUUUUUACAUAAUUCUACAUUUGUAAGUUCAACUUUCAUGACAAAGACAUUGUAGUACAGUACUUGUAGUAGGUGAACUGAAAAAUACUAUUUUUUUACAGUACAAAUAUUUAUCAAAAAUAAAUAUAAAGUGAGCACUGAACACUUUGUAUUCUGUAUUGUAAUUGAAAUCAAUAUAUUUGAAAAUGUAGAAAAAAAUCCAAAAAUAUUUAAAUAAAUGAUAAUCUAUUAUUUAACAGCACAAUUAAUCGCAUGAUUAAUCGUGAUUAAUUUUUUUAAUCAUGCCAUUAAUCGUGAUUAACUUUUUAAUCGCUCAACAGCCUUAGUUUAAACUCCUUAUUCAACAUCCUUUCUCCUACAAUCUGCAGGUAGGUAUAAUAUGUAGGUAUUCUCUUACAAUCUGCAGCCUCUGAGAGAUUUGUCUGGUCGAGCUUUCUCUUUAUAUCUUUUGGAUAAGGGGUCGAUAAAGUUAAGCCAUUUUGGUAGCAGCCCUAACUUUGGGAGUGCCAGUUACCAGGAAUGGGCCUAUUGUCUCUGCAGGGAAAGAGUCUGAAGUUUCUGUCCACUAAAAGUCAAGUGAAAAGAUGUUUGUAUUUCAGAUUCUGCAGGUAGUCUUUAGCAAUGACUGUAAUGGUUUUGAGGUAGUUUUGGUUGAUAUCAGGUAGGUUGUGUUCCAAAGUUAAUGUCAAAAUGGUUUAACUUCUGUGGAUACUGAUGCAUUUAAUUCAAAACUAGAUGAGAUGGGGAGAAGUUAGACUAACAGGUCUGUGAUUAAAGUUGCUGGGGUUGCCUUGAGCAUCUUUCAGAAGGAAGCACUCCUCCUUAGAGUCCUGAGGUAUACCACCACCAUUAUUUUCUGGGGUUUCUCAGACUCGGUUGAAGUCCUAGGUUAGACAUUCUGGAAAAUCCUUUUUUAGCCAUCUGACAAAUAUCGUUAGCUUCAAAUUUUUCAGCUUCUGUUUCAGCUCUUUCAGAGCAGCAGUUUUGAAAGUGCAGGAGGACCUCAAAACAGUCCCUGACUUCUGCACAGUUUAGGACCAUUUGUGCUGAUAUUUUUAGGCAUAGAAGUUAGCCUCCAAGUGGUUGGAUCCUCGCAAUCAUAGACUAGGUGAUCCUGUUGGAAUUCUGCACCAAAAAAAUAAAAAUUCUAUUCACAGUAUUUUGAAAUUCUGCAAAUUUUAUUUGUCAGUAAAUAAAUGUGGAGGCUCCAGCAUGGCAGUGAGGGAGCGCAGGCCACUGGCUACAUGGAGAUGGAAGAUCACCUUGUAGUGCUCUCUUCCUCUUCCCCAGACACGGACUCAGUGGUGAGGCUGAACUCGCCUGCCCCAGAAACAUGUCGGGGGCCCUUCCCUUCUGUGCCUGGCACAGUAAGUAUGGGCAGGCAGGCUCAGCCCAGCAGGAUCCAAGUACAGUAACUCCUCACUUAACGUUGUCCCGCUUAACAUUGUUUCGUUGUUACGUUACUGAUCAAUUAGAGAACAUGCUUGUUUAAAGUUGCACAAUGCUCCCUUAUAACGUCGUUUGGCAGCCACCUGCUUUAUCCACUGCUUGUAGAAAAAGCAGCCAGUUGGAGCUAGCUGGUGGGGGGCUUGGAACCAGGGGUGGACCGGCAGCCCCCCUGUCAGCUCCCCUAAGUUCCCUGUGCAGCAGCCUCCCCGGCAGGCUAUAAAUUUGUGGGCAGUUCAGCUGUCCCUCCCCCCACUGCUGUGUGCUGCUCUUGCCCUCUGCCUUGGAGCUGCUCCGGGGAGCCUCCUGCUUGCUGUGUGGGGGGCAGGGGCGAGAGGGGUGCUAAUGUCAGGGUGUUCUCCGCUCCUGUACCUCAUCUCCACAGAGCAGAGGCGGGACACGACAGGGCUGAGGACGGAGCUUACUGGCAGCAGCUGCUGUCUCAACUUGCUGAUCUACUUAAAAAGGCAAUGUACUUAGAGUGGGGUCAACGUACUUAAAAGGGAAAUGUGCGUCUCUCUCACACACACACACUGCCAUGCUGUGUCUCCUCCCUCCAUUCCUGCUGCCUUGUAGAGUGUGAGGCUACAAUUAACAACAAUGUGUUAGCCCUUGAGGGUUCAGCCGAGUGCUAGUUCAUCAUUUAACAUUCAGGCAUUCCCUGGGAAAUACCCCACCCUCUGACUCCACAACCUCAACCAAGCUUCACAAUCAUCAUUAUUGUGUACAGUAUUAAAUUGUUUGUUUAAAAUUUAUACUGUGUGUGUAUCAGAGGUGCAAGUAAGCCAGUACGGUCCAGUGUGGCAAGAGCCGGUACACCGUGCCAGACCGGACCAGCUUCCCCAGGCUGGCGAUUUAAAGGGCCCAGGGCUCCCUGCAGUGGCCGAAGCCCCGGGCCCUUUAAAGCGCUGACAGAGCCCUGGGGUAGUGGCGGCAGGGCUCCGGCGGUGACUUAAAGGGCCAAGGUCUCCCAGCUGUGGAGCCCCAGGGCCUUUAAUACCUGGGCCCUUUAAAUCAUGAUUUAAAGGCCCCACCUCUUCUGGUUGAGGCCAUACCCCCUGCUCAGACCGUUAAGUCCUUUAAGUCCUUUAAAGUUACUUUCACCCCUGGUGGGGGUGUGUGUGUGUGUGUAUAUAUAUAAUAAUAAAAAUUCCCUGGAACCUAAACACCCCCCCACACACAUUAAUUCUUAUGGGGAAAUUGGAUUCACUUAACAUCAUUUCAUUUAAAGUAGCAUUUUUCAGGAACAUAACUACAACAUUAAGUGAGGAGUUACUGUAUGGAGGGUCUUGGUGUGGGGGAUCCAUGUGCGGCAAUCUGGGUGCAAGUGGCCCAGUAGAGGGUCCAAGUGCGAGAGGGAUCUGGAUGCACAGGGGCUCGUUGGGGGGGAGAUCCAGGUGUGGGGGCAAUGGGAUUCUGCAGGGGGGUCCAGGUGAAGGUAGUUGGGGCUCAGCGGGGUGCGGGGGUGUCCAGGUGCUGGGGGGAAUGGGGCUCGGUGCAGUGGGGGUCCAGGUGUGGGGGGCUCAUCAGGGUGGUCAAGGUGCAUAUGGGUUGGGUCUCGGUUGGGUGUGGUUUGGGUGCAGGAGGCUCGGUGGGGGGUGGUCUGGGUGCAGGGGCGGGGUCUGGAUUGGGGGGGCGCUCAGGUGGUUCUGGGUGCAGGGGUUGAGGCUCAGCAGGGUCUGAAUACACAGGGGUUGGGUGGAUGGGGGGGUGAUCUCUCCUCCUGCAGCUGAGGAGUGAUGGGGGCAGGAAGCGGGGAUGGGGUGCAGAGCCAGGGGAGGUUUCUGGAGGUGGAUCUGCCCCAGCUGCUCUGUGCAGGGGAAAUGUGCUCCUCCCCCAGCCCAGCCGGGACUAGUACCUGGGCCCAGCGUAGGGUAGGAGCCACUGGGUGGGGCUGGGGAGGGCUAGAUACAGGGGGGCUCUGGAUGCAGGGGGUAAGGCUUGGCAGGGUGGGGGUUCUGCACUGCCCGAAAUGACAUACCUGCACUGCUGGGGAGGGGCAAGUGACUGCUCUUGCAGCUUCCCUUUUGCUUCCCUGUCAGUCAUUUUUCUGAGAGGAAGCAAAGAAAUCUGCGAGGGACAUGAAUUCUGCAGAAUUCCCCCAGGAGUAAAUAGGACAAUGAGUCAGUGGAUUGUGUUUUGGUUUUUGGGCAGCUCUGUUAUAACUUUACUGGAUUUUCAGUGUCAGUAAGUCUUAGGGUCCUAUGUGGAGCCACAAAAUAAAGCUAGACAACACUCUUCAGGUGAUUAUUUAUAACAAGUAACUAUCAAACCCAAAACAGUAUUCUGUCCCUUUUAAGGACUAAGGCAAACAACCCCAGCCCUCUAACAGGAUUACACAAAUGAGGGGAACAGAAGCUAUGCAUAGCUCACCUGCCUGACAGCACUAGAGCUCCCAGCCCAGAAGCAUCUUUUUAUUUCUUUCCCCACCCCGUGGAAUGUCUUCUGCUCCCUUUUUGAAGGAGACUGGAGGCCACUGAUUCUCUCUGUGCUGCUAACCCUACAUUAUUCCCUUGUAGUUCCCUGCAGUAGAGCAUGCAGCUGUGGUCCUUUUCUUCAGAAACCAGACUAACCCUCUCCUGACUUCCUAAGGGAUGACAGACCCCUUGUACUAAAGAAGUAUCAACUGUGGCGUGCUUCUUCAUAGAAGAUGACAGUGCUGCUAGUCAGAGUUCAGUCACACUUUACAAAGCAUUGUAUCAACUCUGAAUCCAGAUUGGAUCCUCAGUUUGGGAAAGUGCUCCAGGUCUUCUUAAUUAGCACUCAGCUUUUCUGCUGAGGAUUGUUGCUGCUUCUGCAGAGCUUAAUGGAUCCCAAUGAAGAGUAAUAAGUAUUGUCAUGAAGGAGAAAAGUUAUUUGCCAGUAACUUGUUCUCCAAAUGUAUUGCUCUGCAGAUCAACAGACUUUCCUCCUCCCCUCUCUUUAGGAGUUAAUGCGUUUCCUGAAGUAAAGAGGAACUGAAGGAUUUUAGGGGUCAGCACUCCAAAAUCCUAAGGCCUUGUCUACACUACACAGUUUUGUCAACAAAGGUCAGCUUUUGUCAAUAAAAGAGUGGAGGUAUACAUGCUGAAACACUCCUCCUGCCAAUGUAACUCCCCUGCUAUGCCGACAUAAUAAAACCACCUCAACGAGGGGUGUUGGGCUUACAUCAGUAUUGAUAGGGCGGCGCAGUGUCUGCGUAGAUGCUGGGAGCCGGGGCAAGAAUGGACCCCGUACUCAGCUGGGAGCCCUGGGCGGCUUCCCCCCCUCCCAGCAGGGCAGCCAGGCUCCCGGCAGGGAGCCGUCAGCAGAACCGAGAGACCAGGCUUUCCGCUCCCCACACUCCCCCUCGUAGGUCGGUGAAAACACUCCUGGUGAGGACACGCACCACUGACCCAAGGAGGGUAGUGUGAACGUCAGUCACCACAGUAAUUAAUGCAGUAGCUCUAAGUCAACCUAAUAUAGGUCGACUGUAUGCUGCACUGUAUGCUGGAAAUCAGAUGUACAUAUUGUAAUGCUGUUGACGGUUUUAGCCUUCACUAGAAACAAAAUGUUACCUGUGUGCCUAACUUUAAAACUCAGAGAGGGGAAACUGAAUCAUGGUUCUUCUACAUUGAUGGCUUGCAUGUGACACCGAUAAGACAGCUUAAUUUGUUUCUUGUGUAAAAUAAUAUAGUAUAUUCAGCUGGGAAUUUGAGAAGUUUUAAAAAAAUAAAUCACUCUGAAAUAACUUAACUUAGAUUCUUCAGAAUCCGAGAGAAAAUACUGAUUACCAAAAAAAAAAAAAGAGAGAGAGACAAGAAUUCUUAUCAGCUAUAGAUAAAAAUCAGUU